Molecule: ribosomal RNA, 253 nt
Filed under: uncultured bacterium
Lineage: Bacteria
Description: partial 16S ribosomal RNA
Rfam family: Bacterial small subunit ribosomal RNA
Source: RNAcentral
GACGAACCGUGCGAACGUUGUUCGGAAUCACUGGGCUUAAAGGGCGCGUAGGCGGGUUCGCUGGUCAGGGGUGAAAUCCCACGGCUCAACCGUGGAAGUGCCUCUGAUACCGCGGACCUCGAGGGAGGUAGGGGCGUGCGGAACUUCCGGUGGAGCGGUGAAAUGCGUAGAUAUCGGAAGGAACACCGGUGGCGAAAGCGGCGCGCUGGACCUCUUCUGACGCUGAGGCGCGAAAGCCAGGGGAGCGAACGGG